AUGGCCUUUACAGUUGCAGACUCAGCAAAGCUCCCACAAUGAUAGUUGCACAAAGUUUCCUCCUUGUUGCUCUCAUUGGAGCUGCUCAAGGCCAGUCCCUCACCUCCUCAGAGCCAGUGGUCAGCAGGGCAGGAGAACCAGCCACUCUGUACUGUAAUGUCAAUGGACUUGCUCUUUCUUGGCUGCACUGGAUUCGUCAGAAAACGGGGAAAGGACUGGAAUGGAUCGGACGCAUUGAUAGCGGAACUGGCACGAUAUUUGCCCAAAAUCUCCAAGGCCAGUUUUCCAUCACAAAGGACACAUCGAACAAUGUUGUGUACUUAGAGGUGAAGAGUCUUAAACAAGAAGACUCUGCUGUUUAUUUCUGUGCACGAGAGCCACAGUUACACAGCUGACGACAGAGCUGUACAAAAACUGAAAAACACUGAUCGUUGACCUGGAAGAACUGAAGCAUGUCAGAGUUUGGAAAACACAUUUUCUUCUGAAUAAUGUUACGACCGUGGUCACACUGGGUGUAUUUUUUACGGGUUUCUUUUGUCUUAGGUUGGUUAUGUUAUUGUCUGCAUGCUGUUGUUCUGUGUAAAUAGGUGUGCCUCCAAGCGGAAGGCCUGAGUUCGAGUCCGGCCUUUGGCCCCUUUCCCACUUGUCAUUGCCCUCUCUCUCUCUCCCCCCUCAAUUUGUGGCUCUAU
Labrus bergylta (ballan wrasse) is the source of this 689-nucleotide non-coding RNA. The record is from the annotation of a RefSeq genome assembly. Lineage: Eukaryota; Metazoa; Chordata; Actinopteri; Labriformes; Labridae.